RNAcentral lists this microRNA (23 nucleotides) under Glycine max (soybean). Its description in RNAcentral is "gma-miR169i-5p". Its record names the gene gma-miR169i-5p. The record is from miRBase by way of RNAcentral. Lineage: Eukaryota; Viridiplantae; Streptophyta; Magnoliopsida; Fabales; Fabaceae.
UGAGCCGGGAUGGCUUGCCGGCA